AUUGAACGCUGGCGGCAGGCCUAACACAUGCAAGUCGAACGCGAAAGCUCCUUCGGGAGUGAGUAGAGUGGCGAACGGGUGAGUAACGCGUAGGAAUCUACCCUGUAGUGGGGGACAACCCGGGGAAACUCGGGCUAAUACCGCAUACGUCCUACGGGAGAAAGAGGGCCUCUUCUUGAAAGCUCUCGCUACUGGAUGAGCCCAAGUCGGAUUAGCUUGUUGGUGAGGUAACGGCUCACCAAGGCAACGAUCCGUAGCUGGUCUGAGAGGACGAUCAGCCACACUGGGACUGAGACACGGCCCAGACUCCUACGGGAGGCAGCAGUGGGGAAUAUUGGACAAUGGGGGCAAACCCUGAUCCAGCAAUGCCGCGUGUGUGAAGAAGGCCUGCGGGUUGUAAAGCACUUUCAGCAGAGAAGAAAAGCCUAGAGUUAAUACCUCUGGGUCUUGACGUAACCUGCAGAAGAAGCACCGGCUAACUCCGUG
Molecule: ribosomal RNA, 486 nt
Filed under: uncultured bacterium
Lineage: Bacteria
Description: bacterial SSU rRNA
Rfam family: Bacterial small subunit ribosomal RNA
Source: RNAcentral